RNAcentral lists this non-coding RNA (24 nucleotides) under Rattus norvegicus (Norway rat). Lineage: Eukaryota; Metazoa; Chordata; Mammalia; Rodentia; Muridae. The record is from RNAcentral.
UACUGUGCAGGAGCUCAAGUGUCU